UACGGAGGGGGCAAGCGUUAUUCGGAAUUAUUGGGCGUAAAGGGCGCGUAGGCGGCUAGAUGUGUCAAAGGUGAAAUCCCUCGGCUCAACUGAGGAACUGCCUUUGAAACUGUCUGGCUUGAGGCCGGGAGAGGGUAGCGGAAUUCCCAGUGUAGCGGUGAAAUGCGUAGAUAUUGGGAGGAACACCAGUGGCGAAGGCGGCUACCUGGACCGGUUCUGACGCUGAGACGCGAAAGCGUGGGGAGCAAACAGG
Molecule: ribosomal RNA, 253 nt
Filed under: uncultured bacterium
Lineage: Bacteria
Description: partial 16S ribosomal RNA
Rfam family: Bacterial small subunit ribosomal RNA
Source: RNAcentral